GCUCCGGUAGUAUAGUCCGGUCAAACCUUGCUAAAGAAUCUUAUUAAGGGACUAUGUAUAACGGCCUCUCGAGCCGUGGACCCGGGUUCGAAUCCCGGCCGGAGCA
RNAcentral lists this transfer RNA (106 nucleotides) under Candidatus Bathyarchaeota archaeon. Its description in RNAcentral is "tRNA-Glu". It matches the Rfam family "tRNA". Rfam says of the family: Transfer RNA (tRNA) molecules are approximately 80 nucleotides in length. Their secondary structure includes four short double-helical elements and three loops (D, anti-codon, and T loops). The record is from RNAcentral. Lineage: Archaea; Thermoproteati; Candidatus Bathyarchaeota.